This 200-nucleotide ribosomal RNA is filed under the name uncultured bacterium. Its description in RNAcentral is "partial 16S ribosomal RNA". It matches the Rfam family "Bacterial small subunit ribosomal RNA", at positions 28 to 229 of the family's 1533-position model. The record is from RNAcentral.
GACGAACGCUGGCGGCGUGCUUAACACAUGCAAGUCGAACGAUGAACUCCAGCUUGCUGGGGGGAUUAGUGGCGAACGGGUGAGUAACACGUGAGUAACCUGCCCUGGACUCUGGGAUAACCCCGAGAAAUCGGAGCUAAUACCGGAUAGGACCUUGGACCGCAUGGUUUGGGGUGGAAAGUUUUUCGGUCUGGGAUGGA